GCCAGGUGUAGUGGCAUGUGCCUGUAGUCUCAGCUACUCAGGAAGCUGAGAUGGGAGGAUCACUUGAGCCCAGGAGGUUGAGGCUGCAGUGAGCACUGUUUGUGCCACUGCACUCUAGCCUGGGCAACAGAGUGAGACCCUGUCUCAA
Macaca fascicularis (crab-eating macaque) is the source of this 148-nucleotide unclassified non-coding RNA. It matches the Rfam family "Metazoan signal recognition particle RNA". From Rfam's summary of the family: The signal recognition particle (SRP) is a universally conserved ribonucleoprotein. It is involved in the co-translational targeting of proteins to membranes. The eukaryotic SRP consists of a 300-nucleotide 7S RNA and six proteins: SRPs 72, 68, 54, 19, 14, and 9. NCBI's taxonomy places the organism in Eukaryota, Metazoa, Chordata, Mammalia, Primates, Cercopithecidae. The record is from Ensembl.